This 446-nucleotide ribosomal RNA is filed under the name uncultured bacterium. Its description in RNAcentral is "partial 16S ribosomal RNA". It matches the Rfam family "Bacterial small subunit ribosomal RNA", at positions 354 to 796 of the family's 1533-position model. The record is from RNAcentral.
GUGAGGAAUAUUGCGCAAUGGACGAAAGUCUGACGCAGCCAUGCCGCGUGAAGGAUUGACGGCCCUAUGGGUUGUAAACUUCUUUUGUAUAGGAAUAAACCCUCGUUCGUGAACGAGGCUGAAGGUACUAUAAGAAUAAGCACCGGCUAACUCCGUGCCAGCAGCCGCGGUAAUACGGAGGGUGCAAGCGUUAUCCGGAUUUAUUGGGUUUAAAGGGUCCGUAGGCGGAUCGUUAAGUCAGUGGUGAAAUCCUACCGCUCAACGGUGGAAGUGCCAUGGAUACUGGCGAUCUUGAGUAUGUAUGAAGUGGGCGGAAUGUGUGGUGUAGCGGUGAAAUGCUGAGAUAUCACACAGAACACCGAUUGCGAAGGCAGCUGACUAAUACACAACUGACGCUGAGGGACGAAAGUGUGGGGAUCAAACAGGAUUAGAAACCCGUGUAGUCC